GGGUUUUGACUCAGUGAUGAGGCUGAGGCAAUGGGAACGGAGUGAACGAAGUCAUGAGAAACAACAGAAGAGAUGUUGAGGAGUCCAGUUUGGUUCUUGGAAGAAAGGAUGGGUGGCAGAUAAGGCUGAGAAAGUGGGCUGGCGUAGAGAGAGUCAGAACAGGAGUCUGGGUGGUAAAAAGAAAUCUACAAUCCUCCAUCCAAUCUCCCAUAAAGGCCCCUUUCCAAGCUACAGCGCUGACCAUUCCUUCCUCUUUAUCACACCGUCCAAGACACAUUUGUUCAGUUGAUGCUUAUAAAUACUAAAGCUGGCCCUGGGCUUCGAAAGCCUUGGGAAUUUGGAAUGCGUGGAGGGACCUUGUGGCAAGCGUAGUGGGGCAGGUACAGUAGGUGGCGCUCUCCAACCAAGGCAGGAAGACCCCACACUCAGAUGGAGGCACUGCCCUUCCUUCACCUUGAGGUGAGUCGCCUCCCCACUCAGAAAAGGCAUGGCCUGCUUCGUUUAGUGUAUCCCUCACCACUUUAAUUUUACCUCUUUAGAUCUUUCAUGAUAUUUUGAGGCAUGGGGGCUGGGAAAUCUAUUUCCUAAAAGACAUUAUUAAAGCUCAUUUUGGCAGCUGGAAUUGAGAGCUGCAUUAGGAGCUGUUGGUAUUCUGCCCAGAUGUCAGGCACAUGAUGGUCUUUUAAACUAAAACCACUUGCAUGCCCACUGAGGGUCUAUUUUGUUUCUUUCAUAGUGCUUAAUUUUUGCAUAUUGUUUCUAAGCUCUAUGGCAAUACAUAAAUAAAUAAUCAAUAAUUACAAACCUUUCUCAGAAGUGUGAAGUCUAUUUCUGUUUUGAGACAAACCUUGGGAAUAUUUAGAUAAGAAGCCUCAGUCUAAGUGGAUCAUGAGGUGUUUUCAGUGGCAGGUCGCUAUGUGUGUGUACUCUACAGCCUGGUCUUAGCCUAGGGUUUGGAGAGUGCUGGGAUCAGGGCUUGGCAUACAGAGUAAGGACGCAGGAAACAGUGAAUUGAGGGCCCACUCUAUUCAUAUUUUAUGUUCAAGAAAGGAGGACAUUUUCUUUGUCCACUUUUCCUCUACUUUUUCUUUCGCUGCAAAUGACAGCAAAAAUUUGAAGGGCUAAGUGGAAACACGAGGGCCACCCAAGGCAACAUUGUGACAUUUUGCUUUUCAGAACCAGCUGAUUCCCACUCCUUUCCUUUCCUCCCCUUCCCCGUACAAAUGCUGCGAUGCUCUCUGGCACUGAUGGCCCCCCACACUUCCCUUCCACCCAAAUCUAUUGCCCUAUCCUUCUCUUCCUCCAUUAAAAUGACCCUGUUUCAUGCCUGUGAUAAUAUCUUGGUCCUUCUAGUACUCCUGGGAUUUCAAAAAAAUUUUAAAUUCAUAAUUACAUUUUUACCUUUGCAACCACUGGACCCAGCUUUAGAUUUGUCUGUUCACCAUAUCCAAGACCCCUUGCUAGUCAAUCUGAAGACAUGGACUUAACAGUGCCUGAGUAGAAGCUAAGUGUGUCAAACACCACUUUCCCUCAAUUACAUAUUAACAUCAUGCUUGUUUUUACAAAGAGAGAGAAGAAUUUCAGGCAUGUCCGGCUGAUGAAGAUGAUUUGGGGAUAAGCAGGUCAUUAAGUUCUGUCAAACGAGGUCCUCUAUGAGGAGAGUUAGAUAUCACAGAGAAACCUCUUGGGCCCCUUCUUCUGCAGCCCUGUAUCCUGCCAGUGUGUGACAUAUCCACAUAGGAAUAAUCCUGCUGGAACAACAUUCUGGAAGGGUUGCGGCUAAUGUUUGCUUACUCUAAUCACCCGAAUCUGGUUAUGAUUGUCCAUUGGGUACAUCCAGUCCAGGUAAUUAUUCAUCAUGACAUUUGCUGGGGAAUUCCACCUUGGGCCUUAUUGUGAACACAAAAAGGAUGGAAUGAGGAUAAUUAAACCCAUACCAAAGAAUGUACUAGGUCUACCUUACUAAGUGGCUUUAACAAGCAAAUAUAUAUAAACUCACAUACACAUGAGACUACCAAUCAUAUACAUUUGAGCAAUCGCACAAUUUCCUAUCUCAACUCAUUAGAGAACUGGUAAAAGAUUUGGUCAGGAAUGCUUAAGGAAAAUGUCUCUGCCAGGUCCAUGUAUAGGUCUUCACCUCCCCUCCCCCUUUGCAUCUAAUUCCAGAAUACGAUUUUGUUAUCUUCUACGUGCCAUGCUAUUCCUCAUCCCAUAUAGGUCUGUGUUGGAAUAGUUCUUUUUAAAAAUUUAUUUUUUGUUUUAUAUUGAAGUCUAGCUGACUUACAGUAUUGUGUUAGUUUCAGAUGUGCAACAAAGGGAUUCAGUUAUACAUAUACCUACAUCCAUCCUUUUUCAGAUUCUUUCUCCCAUAUAGGUUAUUGCAGAAUAUUGAGGAGAAUUCCUUGUACUAUAGAGUAGGUCCUUGUUACUUAUCUAUUUUAUGUGUAGUAGUGUGUAUAUGUUAAUCCCAACCUCCCAGUGUAUCCCUUCCCCACCCCAUGUUUCCCCUUUGGUAAGGGUUGGGUACGUCUUGAAUCCGAGCUCCUAUAGUACUUUAGAGCUACCAGGUUCUCCGUCUGCAACUGCUCGGAAUCCACACUUUAAGAUGAAUUUCUAUCAGCUCUGUUUCUUUGGCUUGAAUGACUCCUUCCAAAGUCCCCCUGCAUGGGUCAUGGAAUUGGAACUUCUGGAGAUUUCCCUUUUUUUUUUUUUUCAGUUAGCCUACAGUGCUAGUCACCUGGAAAUGACUUAACUUCAUUUUUUUUUUCUCCAAACCCCCAUUCAGUGGAGGCAGUGCAAAUAGUUGUAGACGUAACCAUUAAUUCACAAGAGAACCGCUUUCGACUACCUGAAAGUCUUGACCAUUAUAAAAAUGUCAUUAACAUUGGGCUUCUCCCUCCAUUGAUUUGGUAUAUAUGGAGGCUUUUAGCCAUUUUUGUCCAUUGAGUUAUGAAAACCUAGGAAGGGUCUUUACUGAACUUGGGUUCUCCUCCUCAUCCUUGUAUUAGGGCAUGGCAGCAAGCAGUACAGCCUGUGGCACACUCUGCUCAGGUCUGCAGCCUUCUUCUAAAGGGAAACCAACACAGAGCAAACAGGCAGCAUUAUAAUAGCAGCAAGCCGUGAAUGGUGGGGAAGAUCCUAGGAAGGAAGACAGCUUUGGGCUCCUCCACUCCCACAGAAAGAAUGCCAGUCCUGUGACUCUCCUGUCCUUUAUAAAUCCUUUACUGCCUUAAUGGCUGAAGGCUGGGUGCCCUGGUAGUAGAGCCCAGAGUGCUUUCAGUAACCAAGCUGCACCCUCUUGUCCUAUGUGCUCCCUCUCUCAAGGCAGUGGCAGAAUCCUAAGCGGUCAGUACUGUGUUGGUUUGAAGGUUAAAUUCUGGACUGAACUGGGGAUCACAGAGACUGAGAAGGAUUGAGGACAGAUAAUAGAGUUUAAGUUUUUAAAAAUUUUGUUUUAUUUAUGUAUAGCUGAUUGACAAUAUUUCUACUGAACCGCAAAGUGAUCCAGUUAUAUAUUUAUAUACAUAUAAAUAUUCCUUUUCUUGUUAUUUUCCAUUAUGGUUUAUCACAGGAUAUAGAAUAUAGUUCCCUGUGCUAUGCACUAGGAUCUUGUUUAUCUGUUCUCUGUACAAUAGUUUGCAUCUACUAAUUCCAAACUCGCAAUCCAUCCCUCCUCCACCCCGCCUCUACCUUGGCAACCACAGUCUGUUCUCUAUGGAUAGACUCUAAGUUUUUGGUAAACUGUAAAAUACAUUUAUCAUUUGAGCACCAUUGUUUAGAAAAUGCUAUGAUUCAAGCUGAUGUGAAAAUUGUCUGUGUGUGUGUAUUUGCGUGUGUGUGUUUGUGUGUGUUUGCAUGGCUCCUUUCCCAGCCCUUAAAGCCUUACCGUGACUCACUGCUUUCUUUCCCACAGCAAAUAAUCAUCAUUAAGGAUUGAAUUAACUGGAAAUGACAGAUAGCAAUGUUUGAUUUUAUGAUUACUAUAAAUCAGUAGUACCAGAAAAAUGUUGGCUCGAUACACAUGGACGCUUUAGUCUGUGUUCCCUGAAGGUCAGAUUUUCUUCCACAUCAGAAGAGUACAGAGCCUGAAUCCAACAAUUGCUUUUCUGUUUGGGAAGAGAUAGACCAGAGAGAAUCCUUUUAAAAGCCUUCUUAUAAAAAUGCUUCUCCUGGUUCCUGCCUGAAUGAGUGGCUUAACAUUUGGCUUCUUUUUACAGGGAAGUUUCUAUUAGAGUGAAGGAAGUUUAACAUGCUCUGAAAACCAAGGCUGCUUUAUGCAGCUCUUAACACAGUAGUAAGAAGGUACUCAGGAUGCAUUUGUUGAUUAAGUGAUUGCAAAGUCAACUCUAAUCUGCUGCUCGACUCUUCUCUCUAUUAAUGAAAACAAAUGUAAUCCUGGCACAUGAACUGUAAUCUGGAAAUGGCUUUUAGAAAUCCACUCCACUGAAUAAAUGGUCCAUUAGAGCCCAUCAUUAUCAAGGUUAAGAAGGUACAUUAGACUAGAUGGAGGUGGGAGUCGAAGAGGAGGGGGAGGUAUAUUUAACUAUUUCAGGAUGUUGACAGAGAAAAAAAUUAACAUUUUAAUUUUACCUGCUUUAAUUCUUACUGACAGGCUAAAAUAAUGUUUAGAAAUUAUUAAGAACUGUAAAGGGUUAAGAUUUUACCCUACUUGUCAUGUAGUACAUUAGCUUGCUGCAGUUUUAUAGAUACUGCCAGAAGACACAAGACUCCUGGGUCAAAGACAAAGAUUUUAUUACUCAUAGAAAUAGCAGUAGACAGAGUAUCUGAAUUUUCUUGUGGAAGCUUCUUGAGCCCCACUUCCCACAGUGGGAUGCAAAGAGGGCUGGGUGACACUUGCUCAUUCAGUGGUUGCAUGGCAAGAGAGGAACCCUAGGCUUGGGGAACCCGAAUCUAUUACAGUGAUCAAUGAGAAUGCCUGCCGUUUGUUCCAGAGGGAACUGCUUUUUCUUCCAAGGCUGCUUCCUAUUCAAACAUCUUGAAAAGCUAGUCCAAAACAAAGGAAGUCAGUGCCACUUCUCAUGAGAUGUGCAGAGAUAUAUCUUGAAAGAAUGUGGUGUCUGUGCCAGUGUGAGCUCUCUAUCCCGUUCCCACUGCUGUCUUUACGCUGCUAUCUUACUUGGAAUGUAGUGGUUCUCACUGCCUCUGGUUUCUGUUCUCAAACUGGUCUUGGAAUUAUGCUGGGUAUUUUUAUCCUCCCUGACUCUGAACCCUGGAGGACUCCCAGGGAUCUUUGCAAUCAAGAUUCCUCCUGCCAGAGACCUAGUAGAUUUGUCACUCUACUAGGUCUCUGGCAGGAGGAAGUAACUUUUUCUGGGGCCAGUGCUGACACCUGCUUGACCUAGACACAGAGAGGGAGGCGAGAAUGAAGAGGAGAGGAGAAAAUACUGUGCGGGGGAGAAUGGACAAAUGAAUGCCAGGAGAGAAAGAAAGAGGAAGACUAUAGGCUCUUCCGCUUUGUCCCAAUAAAAGGGCUAUGAAUUUUGGGGGAACGAGAAAUACAGAGAAUAGAGCUUUGUGAGAGAGACGGACAACCACUGUUUAUGACAAGCAGGCUGGUGAGUAGAAAAAACACAAGAUUUCCCAUGUGGUGCAGUGGGUUAAGGAUCCAGCAUUAUCACUGCUGUGGUUCAGCUUGCUGCUGUGGCAUGGGUUCGAUCCCUGGCUUGGGAACUUCCACAU
Molecule: long non-coding RNA, 5700 nt
Filed under: Sus scrofa (pig)
Lineage: Eukaryota; Metazoa; Chordata; Mammalia; Artiodactyla; Suidae
Description: lncRNA (ENSSSCG00000062881.1)
Source: RNAcentral